CAGUAGCUCAGUUGGAUAGAGCAACGGCCUUCUAAGCCGUGGGUCAGGGGUUCGAGUCCCG
This 61-nucleotide transfer RNA is filed under the name bovine gut metagenome. It matches the Rfam family "tRNA", at positions 7 to 62 of the family's 71-position model. From Rfam's summary of the family: Transfer RNA (tRNA) molecules are approximately 80 nucleotides in length. Their secondary structure includes four short double-helical elements and three loops (D, anti-codon, and T loops). Further hydrogen bonds mediate the characteristic L-shaped molecular structure. tRNAs have two regions of fundamental functional importance: the anti-codon, which is responsible for specific mRNA codon recognition, and the 3' end, to which the tRNAs corresponding amino acid is attached (by aminoacyl-tRNA synthetases). tRNAs cope with the degeneracy of the genetic code in two manners: having more than one tRNA (with a specific anti-codon) for a particular amino acid; and 'wobble' base-pairing, i.e. permitting non-standard base-pairing at the 3rd anti-codon position. The record is from RNAcentral.